GACGAACGCUGGCGGCGUGCUUAACACAUGCAAGUCGAGCGGUAAGGCCCUUUCGGGGGUACACGAGCGGCGAACGGGUGAGUAACACGUGGGUGACCUGCCCUUAGCUCUGGGAUAAGCCUGGGAAACUGGGUCUAAUACCGGAUAUGACCUCAUGACACAUGUUGUGGGGUGGAAAGCCUUGUGCGGCUAGGGAUGGGCCCGCGGCCUAUCAGCUUGUUGGUGGGGUGAUGGCCACCAAGGCGACGACGGGUAGCCGGCCUGAGAGGGCGACCGGCCACACUGGGACUGAGACACGGCCCAGACUCCUACGGGAGGCAGCAGUGGGGAACCUUGCGCAAUGGGCGAAAGCCUGACGCAGCGACGCCGCGUGAGGGAUGACGGCCU
This 387-nucleotide ribosomal RNA is filed under the name uncultured bacterium. RNAcentral describes it as "bacterial SSU rRNA". It matches the Rfam family "Bacterial small subunit ribosomal RNA", at positions 28 to 417 of the family's 1533-position model. The record is from RNAcentral.